This 145-nucleotide ribosomal RNA is filed under the name Pseudonocardiales bacterium. RNAcentral describes it as "partial 23S ribosomal RNA". It matches the Rfam family "Bacterial large subunit ribosomal RNA", at positions 2783 to 2925 of the family's 2925-position model. The record is from RNAcentral. Lineage: Bacteria; Bacillati; Actinomycetota; Actinomycetes; Pseudonocardiales.
AAGCGGGAAGCCUGCUUCAAGAUGAGGUCUCCCAUCCGUUAUGGAGUAAGGCCCCCGACCAGACGAUCGGGUUGAUAGGCCGGAUGUGGAAGUGCGGCAACGCAUGGAGCUGACCGGUACUAAUAGGCCGAGGACUUGACCACAA